GACGAACGCUGGCGGCGUGCUUAACACAUGCAAGUCGAACGGAAAGGCCCUGCUUGCAGGGUACUCGAGUGGCGAACGGGUGAGUAACACGUGGGUGAUCUGCCCUGCACUUCGGGAUAAGCCUGGGAAACUGGGUCUAAUACCGGAUAGGAGCCAUUUUUAGUGUGAUGGUUGGAAAGUUUUUUCGGUGUAGGAUGAGCUCGCGGCCUAUCAGCUUGUUGGUGGGGUAAUGGCCUACCAAGGCGGCGACGGGUAGCCGGCCUGAGAGGGUGGACGGCCACAUUGGGACUGAGAUACGGCCCAGACUCCUACGGGAGGCAGCAGUGGGGAAUAUUGCACAAUGGGCGCAAGCCUGAUGCAGCGACGCCGCGUGGGGGAUGACGGCCUUCGGGUUGUAAACCCCUUUCGCUAGGGACGAAGCUUUUUGUGACGGUACCUAGAUAAGAAGCACCGGCUAACUACGUG
This 465-nucleotide ribosomal RNA is filed under the name uncultured bacterium. RNAcentral's name for it is "partial 16S ribosomal RNA". It matches the Rfam family "Bacterial small subunit ribosomal RNA", at positions 28 to 507 of the family's 1533-position model. The record is from RNAcentral.